UACGGAGGACUCGAGCGUUAUCCGGAUUUAUUGGGUUUAAAGGGUGCGUAGGCGGUCGGAUAAGUUAGAGGUGAAAUCCCGGGGCUCAACUUCGGAAUUGCCUCUGAUACUGUUCGGCUAGAGAGUAGUUGCGGUAGGCGGAAUGUAUGGUGUAGCGGUGAAAUGCUUAGAGAUCAUACAGAACACCGAUUGCGAAGGCAGCUUACCAAGCUACUUCUGACGUUGAGGCACGAAAGCGUGGGGAGCAAACAGG
Molecule: ribosomal RNA, 253 nt
Filed under: uncultured bacterium
Lineage: Bacteria
Description: partial 16S ribosomal RNA
Rfam family: Bacterial small subunit ribosomal RNA
Source: RNAcentral